Molecule: ribosomal RNA, 449 nt
Filed under: uncultured bacterium
Lineage: Bacteria
Description: bacterial SSU rRNA
Rfam family: Bacterial small subunit ribosomal RNA
Source: RNAcentral
UAGGGAAUUUUCCACAAUGGACGAAAGUCUGAUGGAGCAACGCCGCGUGAACGAUGAAGGUCUUCGGAUUGUAAAGUUCUGUUGUUAGGGACGAAUAAGUACCGUUCGAAUAGGGCGGUACCUUGACGGUACCUGACGAGAAAGCCACGGCUAACUACGUGCCAGCAGCCGCGGUAAUACGUAGGUGGCAAGCGUUGUCCGGAUUUAUUGGGCGUAAAGCGCGCGCAGGCGGCUAUGUAAGUCUGGUGUUAAAGCCCGGAGCUCAACUCCGGUUCGCAUCGGAAACUGUGUAGCUUGAGUGCAGAAGAGGAAAGCGGUAUUCCACGUGUAGCGGUGAAAUGCGUAGAGAUGUGGAGGAACACCAGUGGCGAAGGCGGCUUUCUGGUCUGUAACUGACGCUGAGGCGCGAAAGCGUGGGGAGCAAACAGGAUUAGAUACCCCCGUAGUCC